AGUCGAACGCGAAGGGGGCUUCGGCUCCCCGGUAGAGUGGCGAACGGGUGAGUAACACGUGGGUAACCUACCUCCGGGUGGGGAAUAACCCGGGGAAACUCGGGCUAAUACCGCAUAAUGCAGCGGCACCGCAUGGUGACAGUUGUUAAGGCGGGGGACCGUAAGGCCUCGCGCCUGGAGAGGGGCCCGCGCCCGAUUAGCUAGUUGGUGGGGUAAUGGCUCACCAAGGCGAUGAUCGGUAGCCGGUCUGAGAGGAUGGUCGGCCACACUGGCACUGAGACACGGGCCAGACUCCUACGGGAGGCAGCAGUGGGGAAUCUUGGGCAAUGGGCGAAAGCCUGACCCAGCGACGCCGCGUGGGUGAGGAAGUCCUUCGGGACGUAAAACCCACAAGUGAGGGACGAAUAAGCGCCGGCCAAUACCCGGCGUGACGACGGUACCUCAUGUAAGCCCCGGCUAACUACGUGCCAGCAGCCGCGGUAAUACGUAGGGGGCGAGCGUUGUCCGGAAUUACUGGGCGUAAAGCGCGCGUAGGCGGCUUGGUAAGUCGGUUGUGAAAGCCUCGGGCUCAACCUGGGAACGGCGACCGAAACUGCCGGGCUUGAGUGCGGUAGGGGGUGCUGGAAUUCCCGGUGUAGCGGUGAAAUGCAUAGAUAUCGGGAGGAACAUCGGUGGCGAAAGCGGGCACCUGGGCUGCUACUGACGCUGAGGCGCGAAAGCUAGGGGAGCAAACCGGAUUA
Molecule: ribosomal RNA, 740 nt
Filed under: uncultured bacterium
Lineage: Bacteria
Description: bacterial SSU rRNA
Rfam family: Bacterial small subunit ribosomal RNA
Source: RNAcentral